This 501-nucleotide ribosomal RNA is filed under the name uncultured bacterium. Its description in RNAcentral is "partial 16S ribosomal RNA". It matches the Rfam family "Bacterial small subunit ribosomal RNA", at positions 30 to 523 of the family's 1533-position model. The record is from RNAcentral.
AUUGAACGCUGGCGGCAGGCUUAACACAUGCAAGUCGAGCGGAGAUGAGGUGCUUGCACCUUAUCUUAGCGGCGGACGGGUGAGUAAUGCUUAGGAAUCUGCCUAUUAGUGGGGGACAACAUUCCGAAAGGAAUGCUAAUACCGCAUACGUCCUACGGGAGAAAGCAGGGGAUCUUCGGACCUUGCGCUAAUAGAUGAGCCUAAGUCGGAUUAGCUAGUUGGUGGGGUAAAGGCCUACCAAGGCGACGAUCUGUAGCGGGUCUGAGAGGAUGACCCGCCACACUGGGACGGAGACACGGCCCAGACUCCUACGGGAGGCAGCAGUGGGGAAUAUUGGACAAUGGGGGAAACCCUGAUCCAGCCAUGCCGCGUGUGUGAAGAAGGCCUUAUGGUUGUAAAGCACUUUAAGCGAGGAGGAGGCUACUGAGACUAAUACUCUUGGAUAGUGGACGUUACUCGCAGAAUAAGCACCGGCUAACUCUGUGCCAGCAGCCGCCGUAA